GAUGAACGCUGGCGGCGUGCCUAAUACAUGCAAGUCGAGCGAACGGACGAGAAGCUUGCUUCUCUGAUGUUAGCGGCGGACGGGUGAGUAACACGUGGAUAACCUACCUAUAAGACUGGGAUAACUUCGGGAAACCGGAGCUAAUACCGGAUAAUAUUUUUAACCGCAUGGUUCAAAAGUGAAAGACGGUUUUGCUGUCACUUAUAGAUGGAUCCGCGCUGCAUUAGCUAGUUGGUAAGGUAACGGCUUACCAAGUCAACGAUGCAUAGCCGACCUGAGAGGGUGAUCGGCCACACUGGAACUGAGACGCGGUCCAGACUCCUACGGGACGCAGCAGUAGGGAAUCGUCCGCAAUGGGCGAAAGCCUGACGGAGCAACGCCGCGUGAGUGAUGAAGGUCUGCGGAUCGUAAAACUCUGUUAUUAGGGAAGAACAUAUGUGUAAGUAACUGUGCACCUCUUGACGGUACCUAAUCAGAAAGCCACGGCUAACUACGUG
RNAcentral lists this ribosomal RNA (497 nucleotides) under uncultured bacterium. Its description in RNAcentral is "partial 16S ribosomal RNA". It matches the Rfam family "Bacterial small subunit ribosomal RNA", at positions 28 to 507 of the family's 1533-position model. The record is from RNAcentral.